Musa acuminata AAA Group (dessert banana) is the source of this 930-nucleotide long non-coding RNA. RefSeq lists it as uncharacterized. The record is from RefSeq and is a predicted model, not a curated record. Lineage: Eukaryota; Viridiplantae; Streptophyta; Magnoliopsida; Zingiberales; Musaceae. The transcript has 3 exons.
UCCGUUCACCGGCCACUCGGUUGAGCUGUCAUUAAACCCUAAGAGGAUCGAUGAUUCGCCGUGAUUGGAAGCCAUGCAACCCCCGGUCGACUUCCUCCAUCGCCACCUUCUCCACCAUCACCACCACCAUAUCCCACUCGUCCUACUCUGUCCGUGCAGUUGCCACCGUCGUCACCACCACUGCCAUCUCCUCCCCCGAUUCGCUUCACCCAAUCCUCACCUCCCUCCUCCCUGCCAUCACCUCCCUCUUCCCCACAUCCCCUGUUCCAGCUUCUCCCAGGUUCUUCCAAAUAGAACCUCGCCGCACCUAGUCCAGGACCAAUCCUCGAUGAGCCAUAUUGGAGCCGAGAGACCGGAAGCUGCCGAAGUUGUCGACUUUCCUGCUUCUGAGUCACAAGAACAAGAAUGGAAUGAGAACCAAGUACCAGAAGGUGAAGAAGAUGUUUUUGUUUUAACUGAUGAAUGGAUGGAGUUUUUCGCAAAAUCUGAGGCUAAGAGAAAAUUGGCUAAGCAGCAGAAAAAGAAGGGCCGGAAGUGAAUGUACACAUACAUAUAUGGUCUAAAGCAUCCGACCGAGUGUUAAAACAUCUCAAGAUCUGCAUCUAUCUGGCUUCAAGCAUUCAAGACAGAGCCAUUUCUUCAACUCCUUGGAAAUAACAACAUGCCCAGCUGCUGUUCCUGACCUCUCUUGAUUCUGAAUCCCAAUCUCUAAUGGUGGUUGUCCAUCUCAGUUGGUACACCUCUCUCUCUCUCCAUGCACUUCAUCAAAAUUGAUGCUUCCAGUCUUGUUGUGUCUAAACAUUACAUGGCUGUGACACUCUUUUUCUGGCAUUUGUUUCCUUCACUAGCUUUGUCCUACAAAAAGGCUUCCAACCUGUAUGACUGUGACUUGAUAACUGCCGUUUUAUGUCCGACUUGGUAUUUCUCCGA